GACGAACGCUGGCGGCGUGCCUAAUACAUGCAAGUCGAACGCAGUUUCGAACGGGUGAGUAUCGCGUAUGUAACUGCCUCAUAGCGGGGGAUAACUAUUUGAAACGGUAGCUAAUACCGCAUCCUGUGGGAUGGACCUGCGUUGUAUUAGCUAGUUGGUGAGGUAAAGGCCCACCAAGGCGACGAUCCAUAGCCGGCGUGAGAGGGGGAGCGGGCAAACUGGGACUGAGAAACGGCCCAGAAGCCUUCGGGAGGCAGCAGGAGGGAAUCUUUGGCAAUUGACGGAAGUCUGACCGCGCAAAGGCGCGGGAGUGAAGAAGGUUUUCGGAUCGUAAAGCUCUUUUGUGAGAGAAGCGGUAACUAACCAGAAAGGGACGGCUAACUACGUGCCAGCAGCCGCGGUAAUAC
This 407-nucleotide ribosomal RNA is filed under the name uncultured bacterium. RNAcentral describes it as "partial 16S ribosomal RNA". It matches the Rfam family "Bacterial small subunit ribosomal RNA", at positions 28 to 526 of the family's 1533-position model. The record is from RNAcentral.